AUAGUGGGAAGCCCACUCGCGCAUCCCGCGCGUGUAACUCGUUCUCGGCCACCACUUCUGCGUUUCACAGUGAACAAUGGAGUCCGAACUAACGAGCUAAACGAUGAGCUUCAUCAAUCCGUUCAACAGCUUUUCGAAUCCAUCUUCAAUCCAGUCUACGAUCUCGCAGAUUUCGUCGAAUAUUCCAGCCCCUAUUUCCUUUUUCUUUACUAUGAUCGUCAAGCCGAAACCCUAGUUUUUGUAUUGUUUGGUUUUCGAUUCUACAUCCUCCACCUGCAUCGAUCGUGGUAGAUUACAUGAAUGGCUUCAGUGCUGCAAGUCGGCGAUGAUGCGGGAGGGAAUCCCAGGAGAACGGAUUAUGAAAAGUUUAGUGCCGGGAAGCAACAGAAAGAGCGUAAAAUUUCCAAACACGUCGCUCGAAAUUCCGUAAAAACUCCUGCGGUCACCAAUGGCGUUGCUAAUCCGUCCUCUCCUUCGUAUAAUCCGAUCGAUGCUUUACUCACGUUUAGGGAAUCUUCGCGUCAAAAUCGGUGCAUCGAACCGAUUAACGCCGAGGUCAUGCCGGGAUAUACAAGAUUUAAUAACCGAGUUAGGAUUAGUUUGAAUUCCAGGUCGAGGUCUGGGAUUAAAGAGCUUACGACGAAGCUGAGAAGCGAGCUUGAUCAAGUCAGGAGUCUUGUGAAGAAGUUUGAAGCUCAGGAGUUGCAGCUUAGCGGCUAUGGUGGGGAUUUUGGACAUAGUCAGUCACAGUUUUCCGCUAAUAAUUUGGUAGACAGGGUUGAUAGUACAUUGAAGGCUAAUUCUGAGGUCGGUUCUGCAUAUCUGCCCGAAUCGAGGCUUGUUCGGAGUGUUUCGGUGGCUGAAAGCUUCGGAGAAUUUGCAGAGAAAGAGAUGAACAAGCAUAAGAACACGAAAUAUACUCCUACAAAGGAGCUCCCAUUGCCGGACUGCAACUUGGAUGGAGGUAAGAUUAUUGGUCCUGUUCUUAAAAUCUGUAGUAACUUGCUGGAAAGAUUGAUGAAUCAUAAAUUUGGUUGGGUUUUUAAUGUUCCUGUUGAUGCAAAACGUUUGGGGCUUCAUGAUUAUCAUAAGAUCAUAAGGAAGCCAAUGGAUUUGGGUACUGUAAAGAUGAGACUAAAUAAGAAUUGGUAUAAAUCACCAAAAGAGUUUGCUGAGGAUGUGAGACUAACAUUUACCAAUGCCAUUACAUAUAACCCGAAAGGGGAGGAUGUUCAUAUUAUGGCAGAGCAGUUGUCUAAGAUAUUUGAAGAGAAAUGGAAGGUUAUUGAAGGCAAACAAAAUGAUGGUUCAGUUUUACCAACACCCAGUUCUAGAAAAUCUCCAGUUCUUGCCACUCCUCCAAUGGAAUCAAGAACUUUCAGUCGAUCAGAUUCUACGACGAAGCCUCCGCCUGCGAAUCGGGGAAGUUUCGGUAAAUCAGAUUCGGUAACAAGACCCCUCAAUCCCAAACAGACCCUUGUAGAUGUUGUUCAUCCUGACAAGAAACCAAAAGCAAAGAAUCAAGAACACAGAGACAUGACUUAUGAAGAAAAACAGAAACUAAGCAUUGACCUUCAGGAUUUACCAUCAGAUAAGCUGAAUAAUGUUGUUAAGAUUAUCAAGAAGAGGAACCAGGGACUCUUCCAAAACGAGGACGAAAUUGAGUUGGAUAUCGGAAGUGUCGAUUCCGAAACGCUUUGGGAACUUGAGAGGUUUGUGGCAAACUACAAAAGAAGUUUGAUCAAGAACAAGAGAAAAGCUGAGGCCAGUCUUCAAUCAGGAGAGAAAUCAUCUCACUACUCGACCAAGGAUACUGAUCCAGCAGUGGCUAAUGCAGCAGGAGAACAUGUAGGUGGUAAUGAAGACUCUGAAAAUGAUAGUUCCUCGACAUGUGGAGACGGAAUUCAGUCUCACUCAGGUUGAAUCGACUAAAAUAAGGCCUCUAACUUAAAGAUUGUGUUCAUCUUGCUUGCAUUCUACACCAACAUAGGAUCAUAUGUAUAGUUCGGGGAUGACGGAGCAAUCUCGGGGGCUCAUGCAGGUUCAAAGGGAAGAGAUCAAAAGUACUCGUCGAUAAUUUUAGAAGACGGAAUCAGAAAUCUCAUUCAUGGUUUGCUUUACAUUUGAUUAAUAGGCAUUUCCCCAUUUCUUGCUUUGACAAUUUGCAAGUCCAUAUUUUUGUAAAAUAAAAGCUAGAAGUUAGCAUAAGUCAAUUAAUUCCCUCUCACAUUCUAGGAUUGAUCUUUCCAUGUUCUUUGGCCCCAAACUUAUUUACAUCCUUGUAACAUUUUAUGUUGCAGCAGCAUCUGUAUAUACUAAAACCAUCUUUUAACAUUUU
Molecule: RNA transcript, 2338 nt
Organism: Cucurbita maxima (winter squash)
Lineage: Eukaryota; Viridiplantae; Streptophyta; Magnoliopsida; Cucurbitales; Cucurbitaceae
Gene name: transcription factor GTE4-like
Exons: 5
Source: RefSeq, a predicted model, not a curated record